CAUUCUUAAUGUAGUGCAAUACGAAAAUUUCACACAUGAUCGACGACAUUAUAAGGAAAUAACAUAGCUUCAUGACCACAUCACACCUCAAUACUCAUUCUCAAUAACAUGCAUUACUCACCAAUCAUAAAGUUUAUAACAUUUUUCUCAUUACCUUUCACUCAUAAUCAUAAUACUCUACAUUAUAAAAUUCCCAGCCCGUGAACACAUGCCCAAAACAUACAAUCCAAUCAGAAUGAAUUUCAGAUUGCUCCCCUUACCUGGCUUCCAAGGCUUCUUUAGGAUUCCUUAACACACCACCUGACGUCUCAUAACAACAUCUAUCCUCCUCCUAGUUUCACGGUUCUAUCUCUUUCUCUAGGCUCCCCC
This 369-nucleotide long non-coding RNA is filed under the name Vigna radiata. RNAcentral's name for it is "long non-coding RNA (VRAD_LNC012772)". The record is from RNAcentral. Lineage: Eukaryota; Viridiplantae; Streptophyta; Magnoliopsida; Fabales; Fabaceae.